This 456-nucleotide ribosomal RNA is filed under the name uncultured bacterium. RNAcentral describes it as "bacterial SSU rRNA". It matches the Rfam family "Bacterial small subunit ribosomal RNA", at positions 34 to 507 of the family's 1533-position model. The record is from RNAcentral.
CGCUGGCGGCGUGCUUAACACAUGCAAGUCGAACGGUAAGGCCUUUCGGGGUACACGAGUGGCGAACGGGUGAGUAACACGUGGGUGAUCUGCCCUGCACUUUGGGAUAAGCCUGGGAAACUGGGUCUAAUACCGAAUAGGACCAUGGACUUCACGGUUUGUGGUGGAAAGCUUUUGCGGUGUGGGAUGGGCCCGCGGCCUAUCAGCUUGUUGGUGGGGUAAUGGCCUACCAAGGCGACGACGGGUAGCCGGCCUGAGAGGGUGACCGGCCACACUGGGACUGAGAUACGGCCCAGACUCCUACGGGAGGCAGCAGUGGGGAAUAUUGCACAAUGGGCGCAAGCCUGAUGCAGCGACGCCGCGUGAGGGAUGACGGCCUUCGGGUUGCAAACCUCUUUCAGCACAGACGAAGCGCAAGUGACGGUAUGUGCAGAAGAAGGACCGGCCAACUACGUG